This 440-nucleotide ribosomal RNA is filed under the name uncultured bacterium. Its description in RNAcentral is "partial 16S ribosomal RNA". It matches the Rfam family "Bacterial small subunit ribosomal RNA", at positions 338 to 795 of the family's 1533-position model. The record is from RNAcentral.
CCUACGGGAGGCAGCAGUGGGGAAUAUUGCACAAUGGAGGAAACCCUGAUGCAGCGACGCCGCGUGAGUGAAGACGUAAUUCUUUAUGGAAAGCUCUAUCAGCAGGGAAGAAAAUGACGGUACCUGAGUAAGAAGCACCGGCUAACUACGUGCAAGCAGCCGCGGUACUACGUAGGGGGCAGGCGUUAUCCGGAUUUACUGGGUGUAAAGGGAGCGUAGGCGGUAGUGCAAGUCUGUAGUGAAAGGCGGGGGCUCAACAUCCGGACUGCUUUUGAAACUGUACGGCUGGAGUGCAGUAGGGGUAAGCGGAAUGUCUAGUGUAGCGGUGAAAUGCGUAGAGAUUAGGCGGAACACCAGUGGCGAAGGCGGCUUACCGGACUGCAACUGACGUUGAGGCACGAAAGCGUGGGGAGCAAACAGGAUUAGAUACCCGGGUAGUC